Molecule: transfer RNA, 72 nt
Filed under: Neotoma lepida (desert woodrat)
Lineage: Eukaryota; Metazoa; Chordata; Mammalia; Rodentia; Cricetidae
Rfam family: tRNA
About the family: Transfer RNA (tRNA) molecules are approximately 80 nucleotides in length. Their secondary structure includes four short double-helical elements and three loops (D, anti-codon, and T loops).
Source: Rfam by way of RNAcentral
GUGGCUGUGGCUCAACUGGUAGAGUGUUUGCUUAGCAUGUAUGAAGACCUGGGUUUGAGCCUCAGCACCACA